UCAAGCGAAUAAGAGCGCAGGGUGGAUGCCUUGGCACUAAGAGCCGAAGAAAGACGUGAUAAGCUGCGAUAAGCUACGGUGAGGAGCAAAUAUCCAUUGACCCGUAGAUUUCUGAAUGGGGAAACCCGGCAGGAGAAACUCCUGUCACUGUAUGGUGAAUACAUAGCCAUAUAGAGGGAACCCGGUGAACUGAAACAUCUAAGUAGCCGGAGGAAGAGAAAACAACAGUGAUUUCCUAAGUAGCGGCGAGCGAACGGGAAAGAGCCCAAACCGGAUUGCGUGCAAUCCGGGGUUCGGACUGCAUACGUCAUUGUAAAAGGAUAACAGAAUGGUUUUGGGAAAGCCAGCCAGAGAGGGUGAAAGCCCCGUACGUGAAAUCUGAUUACAGGCAGCAGGAUCCAGAGUACCACGAGACACGUGGAACCUUGUGGGAACAAGCGGGGACCACCCCGUAAGGCUAAAUACUCCUUAGUGACCGAUAGCGCAUAGUACUGUGAAGGAAAGGUGAAAAGAACCCCGGGAGGGGAGUGAAAGAGAACCUGAAACCCUGUGUUUACAAGCUGUGGAACCACCAUAUGAGUGGAACCGCGUACUUUUUGUAGAACGGUCCGGCGAGUUAUGGUUGCUGGCAAGGUUAAGGACGAAAAGUCCGGAGCCGAAGGGAAACCGAGUCUUAAUAGGGCGCCAAGUCAGCAGACAUAGACCCGAAACCGGGUGACCUACCCAUGUCCAGGUUGAAGCCGCUGUAAAAGGCGGUGGAGGACCGAACGCACAUCUGUUGAAAAAGGUGGCGAUGAGGUGUGGGUAGCGGAGAAAUUCCAAUCGAACUCGGAGAUAGCUGGUUCUCCCCGAAAUAGCUUUAGGGCUAGCCUUGAGUUAGACAUAUGGAGGUAGAGCACUGAAUGGCCGCGGGGGCGUCAAAGCUUACCAAAGCCUAUCAAACUCCGAAUGCCAUGUUGCCGAUGCUCAGGAGUCAGACUGCACGAGAUAAGUUGGGUAGUCGAGAGGGAAACAGCCCAGACCUACAGCUAAGGUCCCAAAGUACAUGUUAAGUGGAAAAGGAUGUGGGACUUCGAAGACAACUAGGAUGUUGGCUCAGAAGCAGCCAUACAUUCAAAGAGUGCGUAAUAGCUCACUAGUCGAGAGGUCCUGCGCCGAAAAUGUCCGGGGCUAAAACACGACACCGAAGCUUAGGACUCCUUUAAGGAGUGGUAGAGGAGCAUUGUUAGCGCAGCGAAGCUGUACCGAUAAGGAGCAGUGGAGUGCUAAGAAGAGAGAAUGCCGGAAUGAGUAGCGAGAGGAAGGUGAGAAUCCUUCCGGCCGAAUAUCCAAGGUUUCCAGAGUAAAGCUGAUCUGCUCUGGGUAAGUCGGGGCCUAAGGCGAGGUCGAAAGACGUAGUCGAUGGAUAACAGGUGGAGAUUCCUGUACUAUGUGUACCCAGAACUGUGGGGACGCAUGUGGAGAGCAUGAGCCGGGAAAGAGAAAACCGGUACAAGCGGGGUAGGAGUAAGGACAGCAAAUCUUCCUUACAAUCCGAAGACGUGAUGUGGACCGAACCAAAGUAGGGAAGCAUGUGAGCCAUGUGCCAAGAAAAGCCGCUAUAGUGAUACACAUACCCGUACCGUAAACCGACACAGGUGGAUGAGGAGAGAAUCCUAAGGCCGACGGAAGAAGCAUUGUUAAGGAACUCGGCAAAAUGACCCCGUAACUUCGGGAGAAGGGGUGCCCUGUGAAAGCAGGGCCGCAGAGAAUAGGCUCAAGCAACUGUUUAGCAAAAACACAGGUCUAUGCGAAACCGAAAGGUGAGGUAUAUGGGCUGACGCCUGCCCGGUGCUGGAAGGUUAAGAGGAGAAGUCAGGCAACGAAGCUUCGAAUUUAAGCCCCAGUAAACGGCGGCCGUAACUAUAACGGUCCUAAGGUAGCGAAAUUCCUUGUCGGGUAAGUUCCG
This 1948-nucleotide ribosomal RNA is filed under the name human gut metagenome. RNAcentral's name for it is "bacterial LSU rRNA". It matches the Rfam family "Bacterial large subunit ribosomal RNA", at positions 3 to 1985 of the family's 2925-position model. The record is from RNAcentral.